AUUGAACGCUGGCGGCAGGCCUAACACAUGCAAGUCGAGCGAGCGGCGGACGGGUGAGUCAUGUCUGGGAAACCGCCUGAUGGAGGGGGAUAACUACUGGAAACGGUUGCUAAUACCGCAUACCAUCAGAUGUGCCCAAAUGGGAUUAGCUAGUUGGUGGGGUAAUGGCUCACCUAGGCGACGAUACCUAGCUGGACUGAGAGGAUGAACAGCCACACUGGAACGGAGACACGGUCCAAGCUCCUACGGGAGUCAGCAUUGGUGAUUAGGGCGCAAUGGGCGCAAGCCUGAUGCAACCGUGCCGCGUGUGUGAAGAAGGCCUUCGGUUUGUAAGGUACGGUCAGCGAGGAGGCGUUACUCGCAGAAGAAGCACCGGCUAACUCCGUGCCAGCAGCCGCGGUAAUAC
Molecule: ribosomal RNA, 406 nt
Filed under: uncultured bacterium
Lineage: Bacteria
Description: partial 16S ribosomal RNA
Rfam family: Bacterial small subunit ribosomal RNA
Source: RNAcentral